This is a long non-coding RNA of Homo sapiens (human), 772 nucleotides long. The record is from Ensembl. NCBI's taxonomy places the organism in Eukaryota, Metazoa, Chordata, Mammalia, Primates, Hominidae.
GAGAGUCGGUGGAAGGACUGGGUGAGCUCAUCGCGGGCGUAGCUGAGCGAAUUGGGCACGUGGUUGUGGCCAGAGCACCGACCCUUCUUGGGGCUCUUGCAUUCUUCAUUCCAGUCGGUUUUCACAUCACGGACAGCCCGUGAAUACUCAUCGAUGUCGAACUGUUCUUGGCAGAUACCUAGCCAGUGAUGGACCAGGGUUUCGGGCCAGCUCUCUCCCUUCACCAGGUGUUCUGGGAGGCUGAACUUGGGGACAGUCAAGUGCAAAGGAAAGUGCAUGGGGAGGAUCUUGUUGUUCCGCAGCACACAGCAAACCACCACCGUCUUGGUCUGGAUGUUCACAAACUUAUAGCGGUGCCCCUCACGGAUGAAGUGGAGGUCGUAUGGGUUUCUCGGUGGAGGGCUUGGCACAGUCACAUUCACAGGAAGCCUGGUUUUCUCCACAAUGUUGCGGAUGGUGUGUUCGCCCUCUUGCAUCUGAAGUUCCAGGGGACUUCGGGUGCUAAAUCUGCCCUUGCACUGGAAUGGAAGGCUAAUGCUUUCGUUGGUCCGGUGAUUCAUACAAAUGAGGCACGGCAUUUUGCCUUUUCCCAGCUUGCUGAUGGAAUUGAGCUUCCCAAUCUUUUUGAAGAUUGUGUUGAGUCGUGACUUUUCCUUGAAUGUCUUUGCAUAAAGGAUUUCUGCCUGCCCCAUUAGAAUCUGAUAACAAAAGCCCUGACUUGUGUUUAUUCUGACUCAAAAAGUAUGUGGAUGGCAGAAAACAAGAGAAAUAA